AGCAUGUGGUUUAAUUCGAAGCAACGCGAAGAACCUUACCAGGUCUUGACAUCCUCUGACAACCCUAGAGAUAGGGCUUCUCCUUCGGGAGCAGAGUGACAGGUGGUGCAUGGUUGUCGUCAGCUCGUGUCGUGAGAUGUUGGGUUAAGUCCCGCAACGAGCGCAACCCUUGAUCUUAGUUGCCAUCAUUUAGUUGGGCACUCUAAGGUGACUGCCGGUGACAAACCGGAGGAAGGUGGGGAUGACGUCAAAUCAUCAUGCCCCUUAUGACCUGGGCUACACACGUGCUACAAUGGACGGUACAAAGAGCUGCAAGACCGCGAGGUGGAGCUAAUCUCAUAAAACCGUUCUCAGUUCGGAUUGUAGGCUGCAACUCGCCUACAUGAAGCUGGAAUCGCUAGUAAUCGCGGAUCAGCAUGCCGCGGUGAAUACGUUCCCGGGCCUUGUACACACCGCCCGUCACACCACGAGAGUUAGUAACACCCGAAGUCGGU
Molecule: ribosomal RNA, 494 nt
Filed under: Bacillus paramycoides
Lineage: Bacteria; Bacillati; Bacillota; Bacilli; Caryophanales; Bacillaceae
Description: bacterial SSU rRNA
Rfam family: Bacterial small subunit ribosomal RNA
Source: RNAcentral